RNAcentral lists this long non-coding RNA (645 nucleotides) under Homo sapiens (human). Its description in RNAcentral is "HSALNT0304177". Lineage: Eukaryota; Metazoa; Chordata; Mammalia; Primates; Hominidae. The record is from RNAcentral.
UAAAACGUACAAAACCAAACUGUGCUCUGACCACCUUGGGCACAUGUCGUCAGGACCUCCUGAGGUGUGUCACAGGCACGUGUCCUCAACUUUGGCAAAAUAAACUUUCUAAAUUACCUGAAACCUGUCUCAGAUUUUCAGGGUUGACAUUUUGGUAACCACAGAGGGAUUCUGAGUAGAGGUACCCCUGACCUUUGACAAAUCUAUCAGUGCUUAGUACCAGCAUGAGCUAAUUUUAUGGCUCAAACCAACAGGACAAUUUGCUGAGGUCUGGGAGUACACCCUCCAGAGAAUCCCUGAUCUCCCCAAAUCUGGUCAAAAUCUAAAGUUUAUUUUGCUGUAGAACUCCCCCCACCUUUUUGUUUUUUGGAGUUUUACUUGAUUCCAACAAGGAAUGCAAGAUUUCCUGUUUCCAUGACGAUGGAAGGCAGGUAACUCCUUUAUGGAGUUUGAGCUCACUCCCAGCAGGGAAUAUGAGUUUAACAUUUUUUGUUGUUUUUUUCCUCCUGCUUCUAGAGCGGUAGAAAGCAGUCUUUAGCCUGAGACCCAUCCCUAGAUCCUGAAUUCCAGCUGAAGAGUUGACAUCAACCAGUUUGAAGCCUCCCUUCCCCCCGAAGAGGAACAAAAUCAGCAUGAGAAUACUGU